GUUAAAGUGUGUUUAUUGGAAGGAGUAUAUACUGUUUGAAAUAAAGGGAAAAUUAUGGGAUAUUUCGAAAAAAAAAGAGUUAUGAGCUUAUUUAAAGAACUCGGCGAAAGUAAAUUUCAGAACUGUCAAAAGUGCUAUUAUUGUGUAAGGUUCAAGUUAAGCUUAGCAAAAUUAAUACUGGACUAUAUUGAAGCUGAUUUCUUUCAUUUUAUUCGUGGAAAGAUACAAAGAAAGGAUAAUUUUCAAAUUAAAGACAAUUUUCUAUUAAAAAUUUUGAAAAAAGGAAAUAUGGAUUGUACUUUAUUAAACCCAAAUGGAUUGUUGAAUAAAAUUUAUGUGG
Molecule: long non-coding RNA, 340 nt
Organism: Xenia sp. Carnegie-2017
Lineage: Eukaryota; Metazoa; Cnidaria; Anthozoa; Malacalcyonacea; Xeniidae
Exons: 2
Source: RefSeq, a predicted model, not a curated record